CAACAUAUGUUGGCAAAACCUAAACCAAAGAAUAUCAUGACUCACUAAUAUCAUUGCCAAAUAUGACUCACAACUUGAUUUCAAACACAAAGGUUAACCCAAACUUAAAUUUGGAUGUGUCAAAAGUAGUGAGUGAAAGUAGUGAGUCAUGAUAUUCUUUGGUUUAGGUUUUGCCAACAUAUGUUGUAGUAGUGAGUGAAAGUAGUGAGUGAAAGUAGUGAGUCAUGAUAUUCUUUGGUUUAGGUUUUGCCAACAUAUGUUGUAGUAGUGAGUGAAAGUAGUGAGUGAAAGUAGUGAGUUGGUUCACAUGAAGCUAAACAACAAAACACUUUCAGAAAUGCACCCGUGACUUGGUUCACAUGUCCUACUGCUUAACCUG
This 379-nucleotide long non-coding RNA is filed under the name Brassica napus (rape). Its description in RNAcentral is "long non-coding RNA (BNAP_LNC009355)". Lineage: Eukaryota; Viridiplantae; Streptophyta; Magnoliopsida; Brassicales; Brassicaceae. The record is from RNAcentral.